CCUACGGGAGGCAGCAGUGAGGAAUAUUGGUCAAUGGACGAAAGUCUGAACCAGCCAAGCCGCGUGAAGGAUGAAUGCCCUAUGGGUUGUAAACAUCUUUUGUGAGGGGAUAAAAUGAGGCGCGAGUGCCUUUACGCAUGGACUUUAUGAAUAAGGAUCGGCUAACUCCGUGCCAGCAGCCGCGGUAAUACGGAGGAUCCGAGCGUUAUCCGGAUUUAUUUUGUUUAAAGGGAGCGUAGCUGGGUUGGUAAGUCAGUUGUGAAAGUCUCGGGCUCAACCUGAGAAGUGCACUUGAUACUGGCAGGCUUGAGUAUAGUAGAGGUAGGCGGAAUUCGUGGUGUAGCGGUGAAAUGCUUAGAGAUCACGAAGAACCCCGAUGGCGAAGGCAGCUUACUGGACUGUGACUGACGUUGAGGCGCGAAAGCGUGGGUAUCAAACAGGAUUAGAUACCCUAGUAGUC
Molecule: ribosomal RNA, 460 nt
Filed under: uncultured bacterium
Lineage: Bacteria
Description: partial 16S ribosomal RNA
Rfam family: Bacterial small subunit ribosomal RNA
Source: RNAcentral